GGGGGCCCGCACAAGCGGUGGAGCAUGUGGUUUAAUUCGACGCAACGCGCAGAACCUUACCAGCCCUUGACAUGUCCAUGACCGGUCGCAGAGAUGUGACCUUCUCUUCGGAGCAUGGAGCACAGGUGCUGCAUGGCUGUCGUCAGCUCGUGUCGUGAGAUGUUGGGUUAAGUCCCGCAACGAGCGCAACCCCCGUCUUUAGUUGCUACCAUUUAGUUGAGCACUCUAAAGAGACUGCCGGUGAUAAGCCGCGAGGAAGGUGGGGAUGACGUCAAGUCCUCAUGGCCCUUACGGGCUGGGCUACACACGUGCUACAAUGGCGGUGACAAUGGGAUGCAAAAGGGCAACCU
RNAcentral lists this ribosomal RNA (350 nucleotides) under uncultured bacterium. RNAcentral describes it as "bacterial SSU rRNA". It matches the Rfam family "Bacterial small subunit ribosomal RNA", at positions 915 to 1263 of the family's 1533-position model. The record is from RNAcentral.